This 115-nucleotide microRNA precursor is filed under the name Marmota monax (woodchuck). Lineage: Eukaryota; Metazoa; Chordata; Mammalia; Rodentia; Sciuridae. The record is from RNAcentral.
AGUGCAAUUGCUGAGUUGUAUGGUAGUUAUGUUAGUUGCACAUUUAGUUUUUUUUUAGUGAAACUGUCAAAAAUUUUCCAGAGUAGUUAUACUAUUUUAUAUUCUCAUCAGCAGU